This 520-nucleotide unclassified non-coding RNA is filed under the name uncultured Glomus. RNAcentral's name for it is "SSU rRNA". It matches the Rfam family "Eukaryotic small subunit ribosomal RNA", at positions 569 to 1089 of the family's 1831-position model. The record is from RNAcentral. Lineage: Eukaryota; Fungi; Glomeromycota; Glomeromycetes; Glomerales; Glomeraceae.
AGCAGCCGCGGUAAUUCCAGCUCCAAUAGCGUAUAUUAAAGUUGUUGCAGUUAAAAAGCUCGUAGUUGAAUUUCGGAAUCAGUGGAUCGGUCAUGCCACUCGGUGUGUACUGGUUUGAUUGGUUCUCACCUUCUAAGGAACCGUGAUGUCAUUAAUUUGGUGUCGCGGGGAAUUAGGACUGUUACCUUGAAAAAAUUAGAGUGUUUAAAGCAAGCUCACGUUUGAAUACAUUAGCAUGGAAUAAUGAAAUAGGACAUUGUAUUCUAUUUUGUUGGUUUCUAGGAUCGAUGUAAUGAUUAAUAGGGAUAGUUGGGGGCAUUAGUAUUCAAUUGUCAGAGGUGAAAUUCUUGGAUUUAUUGAAGACUAACUACUGCGAAAGCAUUUGCCAAGGAUGUUUUCAUUAAUCAAGAACGAAAGUUAGGGGAUCGAAGACGAUCAGAUACCGUCGUAGUCUUAACCGUAAACUGUGCCGACUAGGGAUCGGAUGAUGUUAAUUUUUUAAUGACUCAUUCGGCACCUU